UACGUAGGGUCCGAGCGUUAAUCGGAAUUACUGGGCGUAAAGCGUGCGCAGGCGGUUUUGUAAGCCAGAUGUGAAAGCCCCGGGCUCAACCUGGGAACUGCAUUUGGGACUGCAAGGCUGGAGUACGGCAGAGGGAGGUGGAAUUCCACGUGUAGCAGUGAAAUGCGUAGAUAUCUGGAGGAACACCGGUGGCGAAGGCGGCAUCCUGGACCAACACUGACACUGAGGAGCGAAAGCCAGGAGAGCAAACGGG
Molecule: ribosomal RNA, 253 nt
Filed under: uncultured bacterium
Lineage: Bacteria
Description: partial 16S ribosomal RNA
Rfam family: Bacterial small subunit ribosomal RNA
Source: RNAcentral